CCUACGGGAGGCAGCAGUGAGGAAUAUUGGUCAAUGGAGGCAACUCUGAACCAGCCAUGCCGCGUGAAGGAUGACGGCCCUAUGGGUUGUAAACUUCUUUUAUAUGGGAAGAAACUUAUCUACGUGUAGAUAACUGACGGUACCAUACGAGUAAGGAUCGGCUAACUCCGUGCCAGCAGCCGCGGUAAUACGGAGGAUCCAAGCGUUAUCCGGAUUCAUUGGGUUUAAAGGGUCCGUAGGCGGAUUUUUAAGUCAGUGGUGAAAGCCGACAGCUCAACUGUCGAACUGCCAUUGAUACUGGAGAUCUUGAGUACAAAUGAAGUAGGCGGAAUGAGUCAUGUAGCGGUGAAAUGCAUAGAUAUGACUCAGAACACCAAUUGCGAAGGCAGCUUACUAACAUGUAACUGACGCUGAGGGACGAAAGCGUGGGGAGCGAACAGGAUUAGAUACCCUGGUAGUCCACGCCGUAAACGAUCAUCACUCGCUGUUGGCGAUAUACAGUCAGCGGCCAAGCGAAAGUAUUAAGUGAUGCACCUGGGGAGUACGCCGGUCAAACGGUGAAACCUCAAAGGAAU
RNAcentral lists this ribosomal RNA (575 nucleotides) under uncultured bacterium. RNAcentral's name for it is "bacterial SSU rRNA". It matches the Rfam family "Bacterial small subunit ribosomal RNA", at positions 338 to 910 of the family's 1533-position model. The record is from RNAcentral.